Molecule: long non-coding RNA, 220 nt
Filed under: Carica papaya (papaya)
Lineage: Eukaryota; Viridiplantae; Streptophyta; Magnoliopsida; Brassicales; Caricaceae
Description: long non-coding RNA (CPAP_LNC003447)
Source: RNAcentral
AUCAUUAUAGAGCUUCUAAUAAUAUCGUAAAUCAUAUGUAUGUUUUAUUAAGUCUUUUACUGACCUUCACGCGAAACCGUUACAACAUAUAUCCACUUAAAGUAGAAGGGAUCCUCGACUACCACUAAGAAUCACUGACCCAUUCUGGAGUUCUUAUUAUUUCCCCAUCUAGAAUCUAAUCAUGGCCAUCCAUUACCCAUGGGGAUGCUACAUUCACUUA